Molecule: ribosomal RNA, 206 nt
Filed under: uncultured bacterium
Lineage: Bacteria
Description: partial 16S ribosomal RNA
Rfam family: Bacterial small subunit ribosomal RNA
Source: RNAcentral
CGUGUAGGCGGCCACGCAGGUCCAUUGUGAAAACUGGAGGCUCAACUUCCAGACGUCGACGGAAACCGUGUGGCUAGAGUCCGGAAGAGGAGAGUGGAAUUCCUGGUGUAGCGGUGAAUGCGCAGAUAUCAGGAAGAACACCAAUGGCGAAGGCAGCUCUCUGGGACGGUACUGACGCUGAGACGCGAAAGCGUGGGGAGCGAACA